GCCUAGUACGCAAGGAAUGGUCUCAGCGAUGCUCGACUAUAUUGGCCCCAUCGACGUAAUCAACUUCUGGCUGCUGCAAAGAAGGAAAAAACAAAAGGUUGGGGAUUAA
This 109-nucleotide ribosomal RNA is filed under the name Keroeides mosaica. RNAcentral describes it as "partial 16S ribosomal RNA". Lineage: Eukaryota; Metazoa; Cnidaria; Anthozoa; Malacalcyonacea; Keroeididae. The record is from RNAcentral.